Molecule: transfer RNA, 85 nt
Filed under: Yellowstone lake phycodnavirus 3
Lineage: Varidnaviria; Bamfordvirae; Nucleocytoviricota; Megaviricetes; Algavirales; Phycodnaviridae
Rfam family: tRNA
About the family: Transfer RNA (tRNA) molecules are approximately 80 nucleotides in length. Their secondary structure includes four short double-helical elements and three loops (D, anti-codon, and T loops).
Source: Rfam by way of RNAcentral
UCAUCAGUGUCCGAGUUGGUCUAAGGAGGGAGACUUAAGAUCUCCUGUGCGCAAGCACGCGUGGGUUCGAACCCCACCUGAUGAA